Molecule: non-coding RNA, 61 nt
Filed under: Lactobacillus crispatus
Lineage: Bacteria; Bacillati; Bacillota; Bacilli; Lactobacillales; Lactobacillaceae
Also listed under: 1 other name
Description: Fluoride sequence
Rfam family: Fluoride riboswitch aptamer (crcB RNA motif)
Source: RNAcentral
AACUGAAUAGGUGAUGACGUUCGCCAUUAACCGAGUAAAAUCUAAUGACGUCUACUUUAUC